RNAcentral lists this unclassified non-coding RNA (263 nucleotides) under Hevea brasiliensis (rubber tree). Lineage: Eukaryota; Viridiplantae; Streptophyta; Magnoliopsida; Malpighiales; Euphorbiaceae. The record is from RNAcentral.
GUUUGCCGAGCGUUUGGUACUGCCUCAGUAUAAACAUCUUCCACUAGCAGAGGUGAAAGAGCACCACAGAAGGGAUGGGUUUGAAGUAGGAAAUGCUGAUAAGAUCUUUGAAAGUACUUCCAAACAGCAGCAAACAGCAAACGCUUGAAACCAAAUUGCUACAAAGGAAGGGCAUUUGGAGGUUUAAAUGUGAUGUGGAAGUAGGAAUUCCACACCUCUAAAAGUUGUUAUAUAUUCUCAAUUUAAAUUAUUGUUGCUAAUCU